UAUACAUGCAAGUCGAGCGAAUGGAUUAAGAGCUUGCUCUUAUGAAGUUAGCGGCGGACGGGUGAGUAACACGUGGGUAACCUGCCCAUAAGACUGGGAUAACUCCGGGAAACCGGGGCUAAUACCGGAUAACAUUUUGAACCGCAUGGUUCGAAAUUGAAAGGCGGCUUCGGCUGUCACUUAUGGAUGGACCCGCGUCGCAUUAGCUAGUUGGUGAGGUAACGGCUCACCAAGGCAACGAUGCGUAGCCGACCUGAGAGGGUGAUCGGCCACACUGGGACUGAGACACGGCCCAGACUCCUACGGGAGGCAGCAGUAGGGAAUCUUCCGCAAUGGACGAAAGUCUGACGGAGCAACGCCGCGUGAGUGAUGAAGGCUUUCGGGUCGUAAAACUCUGUUGUUAGGGAAGAACAAGUGCUAGUUGAAUAAGCUGGCACCUUGACGGUACCUAACCAGAAAGCCACGGCUAACUACGUGCCAGCAGCCGCGGUAAUACGUAGGUGGCAAGCGUUAUCCGGAAUUAUUGGGCGUAAAGCGCGCGCAGGUGGUUUCUUAAGUCUGAUGUGAAAGCCCACGGCUCAACCGUGGAGGGUCAUUGGAAACUGGGAGACUUGAGUGCAGAAGAGGAAAGUGGAAUUCCAUGUGUAGCGGUGAAAUGCGUAGAGAUAUGGAGGAACACCAGUGGCGAAGGCGACUUUCUGGUCUGUAACUGACACUGAGGCGCGAAAGCGUGGGGAGCAAACAGGAUUAGAUACCCUUUGGUAGUCCACGCCGUAAACGAUGAGUGCUAAGUGUUAGAGGGUUUCCGCCCUUUAGUGCUGAAGUUAACGCAUUAAGCACUCCGCCUGGGGGAGUACGGCCGGCAAGGCUGAAACUCAAAGGA
Molecule: ribosomal RNA, 883 nt
Filed under: Bacillus thuringiensis
Lineage: Bacteria; Bacillati; Bacillota; Bacilli; Caryophanales; Bacillaceae
Description: bacterial SSU rRNA
Rfam family: Bacterial small subunit ribosomal RNA
Source: RNAcentral